This is a long non-coding RNA of Tachyglossus aculeatus (Australian echidna), 370 nucleotides long. RefSeq lists it as uncharacterized. The record is from RefSeq and is a predicted model, not a curated record. The transcript has 3 exons. Lineage: Eukaryota; Metazoa; Chordata; Mammalia; Monotremata; Tachyglossidae.
GAUGGAGCCCCUUCUUCUGACAUAAUUGAUUCCUUCCGCAGACAGCGUCUCUGCUAUUGUAGGCCCAAAUUGAGGGUGUAUGGCUGACUAUGAAACACCUCCGGAUGCUUGCUGAAAGGAGCCAGUUGCAUUUUGGACCUCAUUCUCCGUCGAUAACAAAUGGAACAGACGGGCUGCACGGAUCCUUCUUUUCCCACCGGCCUCCUGCCGGACAUCAGCAGAUAAGCCCAGUUAAUGUUUUAAUAAUGAUUAUCCGGUCGAGAGGAAAUUGGGUAUUGGGCAGUGUCAUUUCUGAAGCGGCCAGCAGAACUCGGAAUACAGUCAUCUCGACCAACACCUUAUCACUCGAUCUCUGUGAUUUGAUUUCCAA